This 6037-nucleotide unclassified non-coding RNA is filed under the name Manduca sexta (tobacco hornworm). RNAcentral's name for it is "agrin, transcript variant X3". The record is from RNAcentral. Lineage: Eukaryota; Metazoa; Arthropoda; Insecta; Lepidoptera; Sphingidae.
AAUGGUUGCGGAUUUUCAUUUACAGCGCCGUUGAUGAUGUUUUUUGUAGUGAAACAUAAGCUCAAAUGAGGCGAUUAAGCGUUAAAGAUGAACAGGCCGGCCUACGAUUACACCGUGCCUGCAUCCACCACAUAUCACGCGAGCACUAACAGGCCACCGCAGUACGAGCGUGGUUACGGACAACUCACAGCCGGCCCAUUAUACAGUCCGUCUUCCCAUCCUCUAUCCAAUUAUGCAGAUGUGUAUGAGGGUAAUAACGACACCACACUUAGAGCUGAAGAGAGACACUGGUAUAUAGAAAAUCACAAGAACUUACAACCCACCUAUGAAGUUAAUCAUGACACUGUACCUCAAGAUGCCAAAAUUAAAAAAGAAGAAGAGAAGAAAACAGAGGUUCCUGUCAGACGCGCGGAUGUCGCGCAAACGAGGCAGCGGAGGAAAGAGGACCGCUGCUCUUGUGAAUGUUGGCCUACUACAGACAAUAAUGUUGCACAAGAUGCCGUUGGUAAUGAGACCACGAGGUCUCUGUCGAGAGUGGAUAUGGUUGCGUCGUACGGUGUGUACAGUAAUAACCACGAAGACGAAAACUCGGGCUUCGCACGACUCUCGGAGAAAAGUGCGAUAUAUGGACAAGGGAGCGAGGCUCCUGUACAAGGUGUAAUAGUGAAUCAGCAAGGGAACAGUGCUGUAGUGCGAGCUGAGUCUCCCACGGAACCUUCCUGUGGCAAGUGUUGUGCCUGGUCCUCGAGCCCUCCGGCCGCCAACUCAGAAGACUACUGUUGGCUGCAUUACUGUCGGCCUGCACUGAUUGUUCUUUUACUUUUAUUUUUUCUAGUUUUGCUGGGUGUGUCAACAGGGUUUUUACUGACGAAUAAUUAUCUUCAUUACCAACCUCGACCGCCUGCCCCAGAAGAGGCGUGUGAAAAAACGUUUUGUCGAUGGGGUGCGGAGUGUGUGUCCCUGGGGGACGGACGUGCCCAUUGCGCCUGUCCUGCGAGCUGCCCGCCGACCGCCGCGCCCGUGUGUUCGACUGCUGGCCGGACCUACCGCAACCAUUGCUACCUACGUAAGGAGGCGUGCGAACGAAGGCUGAAUCUGCGCGUCAAGCAUGAUGGCGAAUGCGAAGCCGGGGAUCCAUGCGCCGGAGUGUCCUGCCCAGUCGGAGCUCGCUGCGUGGCGAGCUAUGGCCAGCCUGAAUGCAGGUGUCCACGGAGUUGUCAACGACGGAAGCCUGUCUGCGGAACCGACGGGAAGGAGUAUCCAUCAGCGUGCCAUCUGGACAAACAUGCCUGUGAUAAUACUCUCAAUAUAAGCAUCAAAUAUCACGGAAAAUGUGAUCCUUGCUCGGAACACGAGUGUGCGGACGGGGGUGUGUGCCAGCUAAACGAAGCGCGCGCGCCGGUAUGUCGCUGCGGUCCAUCUUGCGAGCUGGUGGCGCGUCCAGGAUCCGCUGUCUGCGGCUCGGACUACAGAGACUAUCCUGGCGAAUGUGCACUGCGACAGGAGUCGUGCCGAACCCGACAACAGCUCACUAUUGCUUAUAGAGGAGAAUGCGCUUCAGCCCAACAUCCAUGCGAAUCCGUGAAGUGUGGACUUCGGGAGCAGUGCUCGCUGGACGCGCGUGGCGUGGCUGUGUGCGGCUGUGGCGCGGAGUGCGAGGCCGUUGUGCGGCUUGUGUGCGCCACAGACGGACGCACCUACGACAGCCCGUGCCACCUCGACCGAAUCGCGUGUCUAGAGGGACGCGAUAUAAGAGUCGCGUAUGCCGGUCCUUGUGGUCUGGAAAACCCGUGUGCACGCGUUAAAUGCCCGUGGGGAGGAGCGUGUAUAGCCCGUAAUGGCGCCGCGCAAUGUGCGUGUCCUGUGUGUGACGCUGCGCUUGCGCCGGUCUGCGCCUCCGACCACAACACUUACGGCACUGAGUGCAAAAUGCGCAUGCACGCUUGCCAGGAGGGAAUAAACGAAGGAGAGCUACGUGCUCUAUACAAUGGAACUUGUCAGACAUGCGCCGACAUCGUUUGCCAAGGCGGCGGGGACUGCAUCGUCGACGGGGACACGGGCCGCCCUGUAUGUCAUUGCAACCACAACUGCACUGAAGCGCAGGAGUCGGCCGCGGUAUGCGGGACAGAUGGUCAGACCUAUCCCUCACAAUGUGAACUGGACUCGACAGCGUGUCGCGAGCAAAGUGAUUUGCGGCUCGCCUACAAAGGAGACUGCGCUUUGUGCGAAGACGUUCAAUGCUCGUUCGGGGCGAUCUGCGCGGCUGGUGAAUGCAUCUGUCCCACCGAUUGUACUGGGGCCGCUCGUGAGCCCGUCUGUAGCAGCACCAUGCAGACAUACCCUAAUGAAUGUGAACUGCAGAAGGCCGCCUGCCGACUCCCUCCACCUGGCACACUCCACGUCAUCUUCUACGGAGAUUGCAAAGACAGACUCGCCGUUGUACCACCGAUCGCUAUGACGACGACCGCGAUGACCACGACCGAGGCGGAGGAAGGGCCGACGGAUUCUUCAGGCGCCACUGACCUUGGCACUGUCAGCCCUACUGCCUGUCGAGACAUUCGGUGUGACUUCGGAGCCAGCUGCGAGAUAGGUCCAGAUGGUUACCCUCGCUGUUCCUGCCCCUUCGAAUGUCCACAUGACGAUGAGUACUUCCCCGUCUGCGCUUCUGAUUUUCGACUUUAUCCCAGCAUGUGUGCUAUGCGGAAGGAAGGUUGUCAAGAACAACUCGAAUUGAGACUUCGACCAUUGGAUCUAUGUAAAGGUAUGGAAGUAAGGCCUUGCGGUAACAACAAGGCAAUGGUUGAUCCAACAACUGGUCUUGAAAUUGACUGCGGUAAUGGGCCACACCGGCAAGAUUGCCCCGUCGGUAGCUAUUGCCAUAUUACAUUGACUGCCGCAAGAUGUUGCCCCAAAAAUGAUACGCGGCAACAGGACGAGAAGAAAGACAUUCAUUGCGGCGAGAGCGCGUUCGGAUGUUGUGCGGACGGCAGCACUGCGGCUACGGGGCCUAAUGAGGAGGGAUGUCCGAUAACGAGUUCGACUUGCGGCUGCAAUCGCCUCGGCUCGGUGUCGGAUCGAUGCGACGAGGGUGGUCAGUGUGUUUGUCGGCCGGGCGUGGGCGGUCUGAAGUGCGACCGCUGCGAGCCCGGCUACUGGGGGCUGCCGAGGAUCGGCUCCGGUCAUACUGGUUGCAUACCAUGCGGUUGUUCCGCGUUCGGUUCAGUGCGUGAAGAUUGCGAACAAAUGACAGGACGAUGUGUAUGUCGUACUGGAGUUCAAGGGCAGAAGUGUACUGUGUGCGCUGACCACCGCCGUAGAUUAGGACCUAAUGGAUGCUCUGAUCCGGAGAGCGGCGGCGUGGUUUCUUCGUGUGCCGAAUUAUCAUGCUACUUUGGAGCCGUAUGCACGGAACGGACCGGCGGCGCUCUCUGCGAGUGUGCAGCUGCUCCGUGUCCUGACAGCGAUACCAACAUGCUGGUAUGUGGUAGCGAUGGGAAGACUUAUGAAUCGGAGUGUCACCUUAAGUUGCAAGCAUGUCGCACGCAAGAGGAUAUCGUGGUUCAGGCGUUCGGACCUUGCAAGUUGGGAGAAGUGGCUGGCACCGCUGGUCCACCGCGUCCCUCCUCCCCUAUACAAUUCACACAACAAGACGACGGCGCCGCCUCCAAGUCUACCAGGCAUUUGCUCAAUCCCAACUACAACAAAUACGAUUGGACGAGGAAGGAAACACCAAGCGAUUUUGAAGGCGUUCUUUCGGGCCAGAAAUUUAAAGGUUCGCAAACAGCAACAACCGCAACGCUGGGCGCGGUGGGCGCAUUACUGGGGGACCUGUGCACUGAGGAUGCUGACUGCGUGGCACUGCCUGGAGCCUAUUGUCCGCACGGAGGCUGUGUUUGCAGACCUGGAUACACGCCCACUGUUCACAGGAAAGCAUGUGUUGAACAAAUACCGCAAGAGACAACUGAGGAAUACAGCGCUUGUUUAUCAGAGCCAUGCUACAACCUGGGCACAUGUAUCGACUUGCCAGGCUCCACUUACACUUGUCAGUGUGCGGGAUCCUUCACGGGAGCCAAUUGUGAAUCUCUCGCAAAAGAUGGUCUUCUCAACAACUACAUCGAAACACCAUCUUUUGACGGUUCAUCCUACAUACGACUAAAACCCUUAAAGGCUUACCACAAGUUGAAUAUCGAUAUCGAAUUUAAAGCUUUUUCCGAGAAUGGCGUCAUAUUGUACAAUCAGCAAAAACCGGAUGGCACGGGCGAUUUUGUUUCGCUCGCUUUGGUCAACGGAUAUUUAGAGUUUAGGUAUAAUCUAGGGAAUGGUGUAUUAAUUUUGACAUCUUUGGAGAAAAUAUCAUUGAAUGAAUAUCACAAGGUAUCUGCAAAACGAUAUCAUCGAGACGGAAUCUUGGCCGUUGAUGACAUGGAAGAUGUCGUUGGACAAUCAAGCGGUCACCUCAAAGCAUUAGAUCUCGCUGAAGAUGCUUUUAUCGGAACUGUACCCACAAAUUAUUCCAGGGUAUUCGAUAAUAUCGGCACUCGAAGCGGGUUUAUCGGUUGCGUAAAAUCCUUGAGGAUAAUUCGUCAUCAAGUGACAAAGAAGUUGGGCCGUCCAGACUCAUUAGUCGUCGCUAUAGAAAACGUUCGAGAGUGCCAAUCUAACCCGUGUAUGAGUAUUCCGUGCAAGAAUGGUGGCACGUGUAAAUCCAUAGAGGGGUCGGCGACCGAAUAUACUUGUAGCUGCCCUAUCGGAUUUCAAGGAGCCAAUUGUGACGAGAGAUUAGAUCCGUGCGAGUCGAAUCCCUGCGGAUAUGAUGAGGGGCUAUUGUGUGACAUAGGACCCGAAGGCGGCCACGUCUGCCGCUGUUUAUUUGGAGGUGAAAUUGGUUCUAACGGAAAUACUUGCAGUAAUGACGUUAAUGUGAUACAAGAGACUUGGACGCCCCAAUUCAAUGGUACGAGCUAUAUCGAAUUACCGCCACUCGAAGGGCUGGGGAAAGCGUUCCGAAUAGAAAUUUGGUUUUUAACGAACCGAUUUUCCGGAAUGCUUCUUUACACCGGCCAGUCUAAUAAAGCCAAAGGGGAUUUCAUUGCGAUUAACUUAGUUAAUGGUUACCUACAAUUUAGGUACAAUUUGGGAAGCGGUAUCGCUAAUAUAACGUCUCCGGUGCCUAUAACAAAAGGUCGUUGGCAUCGGGCGAGAGUGUCCCGAUCUGGUCGUCACGGAAGCUUACAGCUCGACCACCACCCGACACAGAGGGGACACUCUGCGCCUCCUCUCACUCACUUAGAACUCACGCUGCCUUUGUUCAUUGGAUCUUUGCCCGCCUACAUCCGCCCACACAAAAUGUCAGGAGUGACCAGCAGUUUUAUUGGAGCAGUGCAACAGGUUUUUGUGAACGGGAAUCCACUUACUUUGUACGGUGGCGACAUAGCGAAGUGUACUAUAGUACAAGAAGAGGAGCGUUUACCUUGUGCCACGACAGGGGUCUCGAAGUACACUGGCCCGCCGUGUGGAGACGGAUUAACACCGUGUAAAAACAACGGGUCAUGUGUACCUCUACUAAAUGAAUACAAAUGUAUAUGCCGCGAUGGGUACAAAGGAAGAAAUUGUGAAAUUCAACAUCCCACUGUGGAAAUGUUAAACGAGAGAACGCCAGUUAAUUUUGACGGAAAUAAUUAUUUCUCGUACAGAAGCAGAGGAAGCCGUAGCUUACAAACUAACAAAGGACAUUAUGGUGUAAGAUAACGUUUGAUGGAUUCGUCAAACAAUAUUUAGACAUAAUAUACGCCACUGCAGAAAACUUAGUUUAGGAAUAGCGGAGCUCGCGGUAUUAGAUAUGAAAUUAAAUUUCGGACGUACAAUGAAUCAGGUCUUUUAUUAUGGAGACGGAAGAUCGGAAUAAGACCACGUGAUUUUAUUGGACUUGGUUUGGGCGACGGGAAACUUCAGUUGAUUUACACUGAUACUGAUGUGAAAGAAAUAAACUCUGCUACCCACGAGGAUUGGUUCCAAUGUGUGGAGUCCAAGGUACGGG